Molecule: non-coding RNA, 30 nt
Filed under: Homo sapiens (human)
Lineage: Eukaryota; Metazoa; Chordata; Mammalia; Primates; Hominidae
Source: RNAcentral
UGCUGAAGCCCAUCUGCUUGGUUCCUCCUU